GCCAGCAGCUAUACCUGCAACCAACCUACAACUGGCAGCCCACUGAAGCUAAGCAGGUGUGAGCCUGGUCAGUACCUGGAUGGGAGACCUCCUGGGAAAGAUAAGGUUGCUGCUGGAA
RNAcentral lists this ribosomal RNA (118 nucleotides) under Lepisosteus oculatus (spotted gar). Lineage: Eukaryota; Metazoa; Chordata; Actinopteri; Semionotiformes; Lepisosteidae. The record is from RNAcentral.